UAAGUGUUGNUCUCAUAAGAGAUCAGUGCUGCAGCUAACGCAUUAAGCACUCCGCCUGGGGAGUACGACCGCAAGGUUGAAACUCAAAGGAAUUGGCGGGGACCCGCACAAGCGGUGGAGCAUGUGGUUUAAUUCGAAGCAACGCGAAGAACCUUACCAAGUCUUGACAUACUGUGAGGACACAAGAGAUUGUGUUGUUCUGACCUUUGGUUAGACACAGAUACAGGUGGUGCAUGGUUGUCGUCAGCUCGUGUCGUGAGAUGUUGGGUUAANNNNNNANAANNNNCGCAACCCUUAUAUCUAGUUGCCAGCAGUAAGAUGGGGACUCUAGAUAGACUGCCAGUGAUAAACUGGAGGAAGGUGGGGAUGACGUCAAAUCAUCAUGCCCCUUAUGACUUGGGCUACACACGUGCUACAAUGGAUAGGAACAAAGAGAAGCGAGCUCGCGAGAGUAAGCAAACCUCACAAAACUAUUCUCAGUUCGGAUUGUAGUCU
This 495-nucleotide ribosomal RNA is filed under the name uncultured bacterium. Its description in RNAcentral is "partial 16S ribosomal RNA". It matches the Rfam family "Bacterial small subunit ribosomal RNA", at positions 817 to 1306 of the family's 1533-position model. The record is from RNAcentral.